UUGAUGUGAUGAUGCCUGAGAAUGGUUUCGCACACUGGACUGAAGUGCCUGUGAUGUCAUACUUCUCUUGGCUAUCUGAUCAG
Molecule: small nucleolar RNA, 83 nt
Organism: Paramormyrops kingsleyae
Lineage: Eukaryota; Metazoa; Chordata; Actinopteri; Osteoglossiformes; Mormyridae
Product: small nucleolar RNA SNORD53/SNORD92
Source: Ensembl